Molecule: long non-coding RNA, 901 nt
Filed under: Malus domestica (apple)
Lineage: Eukaryota; Viridiplantae; Streptophyta; Magnoliopsida; Rosales; Rosaceae
Description: long non-coding RNA (MDOM_LNC011293)
Source: RNAcentral
GCGAGAGGGUAAACUAAUCGCUCUCCAAUGCGAUAGGGUAAACCAAUUCUCCGGCACCCAAAAGGGUCUGCUCUCCAAUGCAAGAAGAUAAACUAAUUGCUUUCUAGUGCGAGAGGGUAAACCAAUUCCCCGACACCUAAAAAGGUCUACUCUCCAAUUCGAGAGGAUAAACUAAUUGCUCUCCAGUGCGAAAGGGUAAACCCAAUUCCCCAACACCCAUAUGGGUCUGCUCUCUAGUGUGAAAGGAUAAACUAGUUGCUCUCUAGUGUGAGAAAGUAAACCAAUUCCCCGAAACUUAUAUGGGUCUGCUUUCCAAUGCGAUAGGAUAAACUAAUUGUUCUCUAGUGCGAGAGGGUAAACCAAUUCUCCGACACCCAUAUGGGUCUGUUCUCCAGUGCGAGAGGAUAAACUAAUUGCUCUCUAGUGCGAGAAGGUAAAUCAAUUCCUUAAUACCCAUAUAGGUAUUCUCUUUAGUGCAAGAAGGUAAACGAAAUCCCCGACACCCAUAUGGGUCUGCUCUCCAGUGCGAGAGGAUAAACUAAUUGUUCUCCAGUGCGAGAAGGUAAACCAAUUCCCCAACAACCAUAUGGGUCUGCUCUCCAGUGCGAAAGGAUAAACUAAUUCCCUGACACCCAUCUAGGUAAGCUCUCCAAUGUGAGAAAGCCACAUAGCUCAAAAGAUCGAAUGCUUGAAGAUCAACUAGGCAGCAAAUGGUCAGGGGGCAGCAGCCACUUUUGCACUUAACAGUUCGCUCAUCCGACACUUCAUCUUCAGCGGCUCUGAUCUUGGCAGCUUCAUCCUUGACUGCUUUAUCUACGACAACAGAGAAAUCAAACUCAAGCAGUUUUAUCAUAUUUGGUAAGCAGCCUAGACGUGGCAGCCCAAACUGUGGCCCAUGCCA